RNAcentral lists this ribosomal RNA (467 nucleotides) under uncultured bacterium. RNAcentral's name for it is "partial 16S ribosomal RNA". It matches the Rfam family "Bacterial small subunit ribosomal RNA", at positions 28 to 506 of the family's 1533-position model. The record is from RNAcentral.
GACGAACGCUGGCGGCGUGCUUAACACAUGCAAGUCGAACGGAAAGGCCCUGCUUUUGUGGGGUGCUCGAGUGGCGAACGGGUGAGUAACACGUGAGUAACCUGCCCUUGACUUUGGGAUAACUUCAGGAAACUGGGGCUAAUACCGGAUAGGAGCUCCUGCGGCAGGGUGGGGGUUGGAAAGUUUCGGCGGUUGGGGAUGGACUCGCGGCUUAUCAGCUUGUUGGUGGGGUAGUGGCUUACCAAGGCUUUGACGGGUAGCCGGCCUGAGAGGGUGACCGGCCACAUUGGGACUGAGAUACGGCCCAGACUCCUACGGGAGGCAGCAGUGGGGAAUAUGGCACAAUGGGCGGAAGCCUGAUGCAGCAACGCCGCGUGCGGGAUGACGGCCUUCGGGUGGUAAACCGCCUUCGCCUGUGACGAAGCGUGAGUGACGGUAAUGGGGAAAGAAGCACCGGCUAACUACGU